CUCCCCUUCAAAGUGUACAAUAAUACAGAGGAGGUAGCCAGGCAGCAACGCAUUUCUGAGUUACAGCUGCUCGCCUCCGCUGUAAGACAGCCCACAACCACGUCUCCAGCAUACAAGAACUUCAGAACAUCCAAGCCACAGCUCCCAGGGGCUCCUUCAAAACAUCCUCGUGGACCUUGCUUCAAAUGCUAAAAGCCUGGCCACUGGGCCUCAGAAUGCCCGCAGCCCGGGAUUCCUCCUAAGCCGUGCCCUGUCUGUGCGGGCCCCCGCUGGAGGUCGGACUGUCCGACUCACAUCACUGCCACUCCUAAAGCCCCUGGAGCCCAAACCCUAUGUUCCUUGGCCGACUCCUUCCCAGAUCUCCUCGGCUUAGCAGCUGAAGACUGACGUAGCCCGAUCGCCUCAGAAGCCUCCUGGACCAUCACAGACGCUGAGCUUCGGGUAACUCUUAAAGUGGAGGAAACCCUGUACCUAUCAGCAGUCAGUCCUGCAGCCGACCCCCCUCUGGCCCCAGUGAUAAAACCAAGAGAACAGAAGAAAUACUUCUGGACCUAAGGAUGAAAGAAUGAUGGGAGAAACAUUUCUUGAGCCAGUCCCUUUCUGCGUUCUUAUUUUGUGGAAUCCGCACACAUCCCCGAGAAGCUUAAUAAAAAGGGCUACUAUCAUGAC
RNAcentral lists this long non-coding RNA (669 nucleotides) under Homo sapiens (human). Its description in RNAcentral is "HSALNT0267698". Lineage: Eukaryota; Metazoa; Chordata; Mammalia; Primates; Hominidae. The record is from RNAcentral.